This 23-nucleotide non-coding RNA is filed under the name Arabidopsis thaliana (thale cress). The record is from RNAcentral. Lineage: Eukaryota; Viridiplantae; Streptophyta; Magnoliopsida; Brassicales; Brassicaceae.
AAACAACGAGUCCUGAGUUGGUC